GCCGCGGUAUCCCUGACCGUGCGAAGGUAGCGUAAUCACUUGUUCUUUAAAUGAGGACUAGUAUGAAUGGCACCACGAAGGUUAUACUGUCUCCUUUAUCCAAUCAGUGAAACUAAUCUCCCCGUGAAGAAGCGGGGAUGUUUAUAUAAGACGAGAAGACCCUAUGGAGCUUUAAACACAAUAACAUUUGCACCAGCGAGCUUAAAAUCACACCCGCCCUGCAUUAUGAUUAUUAGUUUUAGGUUGGGGUGACCACGGAGUAAAAUUUAACCUCCACAUUGAACUGAAAACUUUUUAACAAAGAAAAACACUUCUAUGUAUCAAUAAAUUGACAUUCAUUGACCCAAUAAUUUGAUCAACGAACCAAGUUACCCUAGGGAUAACAGCGCAAUCCUCUUUGAGAGUCCAUAUCGACAAGAGGGUUUACGACCUCGAUGUUGGAUCAAGGUAUCCAAGUGGUGCAGCAGCUACUAAAGGUUCGUUUGUUCAACGAUUAAAA
This 499-nucleotide ribosomal RNA is filed under the name Cryptobatrachus fuhrmanni (Fuhrmann's backpack frog). RNAcentral describes it as "partial large subunit ribosomal RNA". It matches the Rfam family "Bacterial large subunit ribosomal RNA", at positions 1930 to 2593 of the family's 2925-position model. Lineage: Eukaryota; Metazoa; Chordata; Amphibia; Anura; Hemiphractidae. The record is from RNAcentral.